UACGAAGGGGGCUAGCGUUGCUCGGAAUUACUGGGCGUAAAGAGUGUGUAGGCGGUGUUCUAAGUCUGUUGUGAAAUCUCCCGGCUUAACUGGGAGGGUGCGGCGGAAACUGGAAUGCUAGAGGAUGGGAGAGGUAAGCGGAAUUCCUGGUGUAGCGGUGAAAUGCGUAGAUAUCAGGAGGAACACCUGUGGUGUAGACAGCUUACUGGACCAUUUCUGACGCUGAGACACGAAAGCGUGGGUAGCAAACAGG
RNAcentral lists this ribosomal RNA (253 nucleotides) under uncultured bacterium. Its description in RNAcentral is "partial 16S ribosomal RNA". It matches the Rfam family "Bacterial small subunit ribosomal RNA", at positions 524 to 776 of the family's 1533-position model. The record is from RNAcentral.